CCGGGCUGCGGGGCUGCGGGGCCGGGCGGUGCGCUCCCCGGGGCCCGCGCUCUCCCGGGUGCAGGCUGCUCGGCAAUCCGGCAGCGCCUCCUGCUCCGGCUCAGGCUCCGGCUCCGCUCGGCGGCGGCCGCGGCUGCCUGGGCGAGAUCAACAAGUCGGGCUGAGCUUCGGCUCGGCGCUCGCCGCGAUUCUGUCCCGCACUAGGAAAGCCGCGAGUCGGCACCGAGGCGGGACGGCGCCACCUGCGGGUCGGAAGCGCGCGCGGCUUAACCCCUCAGUGCCCGGCCCAGCCCAGGCCCACGGGGACUCGGGUGGAGCCUUGCCCACGGGGCUGCCUUCCCCCAGAUCCACCUUCCUGUCUACAGCAUGGCUGAGCGCCUACUGUGUGCUGAGCACCACAUACCACGUGUAUAGACAGUCGUCUGAGAUGCAGCUGGGAAUCAAAGAAACAUCCGCGGCCCCCGCAGGGUGCUAUUCUAAACUCGAGUUCUGGAACGGCAUUCUAGACUCCAAACGAAAGUGGACGGUAAACUCAUCAACUGCCAUGCAAGGGGGGAGGUGGUGGGCAACUGCCGAGAAGAAACUCAAGGCCAGGUUGGGAGGGGCAGUGAGGAGCCAGCACCUGCAUGGCCUGUCACUUGCAGCACAAACACAAGAACCAGAAUUUGGACCCCAGCAUCUGUGAGGUCCCACAAAUGCCUGUAACUCCAGCACUGAUUGGGUGACAGAGGCAGGAAGAUCACUGAGGCUUGUGGCUGCCAGCCUAGCUGAAAUGCAUGAACACCAGGUUACUGAAUGACCUGCCUCAAAACAACAAGACAGAGUAUGACAGAAGAGGACACCCAAUGCCUUCUUUUGGCCUCUGCACACAGGUAACAGACGGAACUGUCUUCAUCAAAAGAAGGAAUUAGGUGUGUAAGAAACAGAAAAGCCAAGUGUGGUGGCCUCGCCUGGGAUCCCAGCCCUGAAGAGGAGGAGGCAGAUCAGAAAUUCAGAGUCAGCUUUGGUUACAUAAGGAGCCAGGGAACUCGGAGACACAUCGAAAAGGAGUGAGUCAGCAAAAGGAGGCAACUGAAGCCACAGAGAUGGAAAGCUGAGGAACUGAGGCUAAGAUCAUCUUGCAAUGAGAAGGCAGCUCCCUGCCCUUCAGGCCUGGUGUCUCUCCUGCCUCCUCUCCUCUCAGCCACCCUUGGCCAGCGCUCCCUGGUUGCAUCCACCUCCCCUCCCUCCUCUCUUCUCAAUCCAGCCUCCCCUGAUGAGGGAGCAGACAGUGGAAGACACAAGUUUGAUGAGUGGCUUCCUUUUUCAUAGUCUUCACACUUGCUGUCCACACUAAAGAACAAGCUCUCAAGAUGAGGCCAGUUGGGUAGUGUUCCCGUUUGCCUCCUGGCAGCCAACCUCACCUCCAGACCCAGAGGCUCCCUCAUCAGAUCGUACAGAGCCAGUUCUUGAGCAAAGGCACUUUAAUAGACUCUAGCAUGCUUCCAUCUGGUGGUAUCUUGGGAAGACAGAACCAGAGAAGAGAAGCAGCUCUGGGCGUGUUACUCAGUCAUUGAUUCUAAGGUUCUUCUUGCUGGGUAUGUAGAUGCCACAGCAUCUACAGGAGUGGCCCCCUGCCAUGAGUGGCCCCCUACAGGAGUGGCCCCCUGCCACAGCAUCUACAGGAGUGGCCCCCUGCCAUGAGCACUUACCCCUCUUUUGGCCCCUCUCACCCCCUGUGGGUCAACUAAUGAGGAAGUUGAGGAGAGACAAAGCGCUCAGGCAACCUGGCUGCUUUCGGCCUGUCUGACUCAAGAACAGAGGCUCUGAGGUUCCAAGUCUUGACCUUAACUGCCCAGACCCGGUUUAUUCUCCACAGUUCUUUUCUGUGUGAGGUUGUGAGGAUACAGGCCCGCCCCUGUCAGCAGUGGGAACAGACUUAAGUGUUAAAGUGAAUCUGCUUAAAAGAGUAUUUGGUGAGCAACAAUUGACAGCACAGCAAAAAUAUCACCAUGGGACUGUACCAGAGACCCUUCAUUAGAUCACCAGAGGGCAGUGACGUGGUCCUGUGACACCGAGUCUCCAGCCAGGCAUGAAGAGCUACACUGAGGACAGGCAGGUGGCUAAUACCCUCAUCUCCCCUCUCAGAAGCAGCAUCUCUUCCUUUUCCUCCUCCCCCUUCCUCCCUUCCUCCUUUCCUGCCUUCCUCCCCUUCCGGAGUCUUAUGUAUCCCAGGCUGACCUUGAACCCACUAUGUAGCCAAGUAGGAAUGCUGCACCCCUUAUCUCCCAGCCUCUACCUCCCAAGUGCUGGGACUUACAGGCAUGUACACCAUUGUCCAAUUUAUGCAGCUCUGGGGAUGGAACUCGGGGCUUGUGCAUGCUAGGCAAGCACUCUACCAACUGAGCUACAUCCCCAACUUAUUUUAAAGAAGAAAGAGUAGGAAAAGAAAACUAAAGAUUAAAAUGAGGGCAAGUUUGAACCUGGUCAUACCUGGCCCUGGCCCUGGCCCACUGUCCCCUCCCCAGUCCCCCAAUGUUACUUCAACAUCUCAGGUUCCCAUUGGAGCUGCCUGGAGGGAGAAUCAUCCUCCUCAUGAGUGAGUCCCAUGGUCCUGGCUCUGAGGAGCUGAGGAGGUGCCACCUUUAAAGGGAAUUGGCCCUCCUCCGGCACAGAUGAGAAUCCCAGGGACAACCCUGCCUGAUUUAAUUAUGAUGGUGCUCAGAAGGGCUUCCCCCAGCACACCAGGGCUGAAGCCUGGGAGACCUUUGGCAGCUAUUUCUGCAGCUUUUUCCCUCCCCUCCCAGCCAUGAGGCGGCAGCUGGGGGUUGCCAUGGAAACCAGCUCAUCUUCCCACUGGAGGCUGCCAGCUCUGAUCUCCUGUAGAGAUAAGAAGCAGGCAGCAGUGGGGGGGGGGUCACCCAGGCAUGAAGAUGGGUUUCCCUGGGGAUACCCAGCCUCCUGCCAAUCACAUUGUCUAUCUGGGAAUCCUGGGGGUGCCUAGAGACCCAGGGCCAGGGAAGCCUCCGAGCCCCAGCACUGCUCCAAGAGAUGAACCCUUGGAACAUCCUGACUCAGGACCUCUUCUGUCCCUCCAGCUAAAGCUAAGGGACCAUGGAUGUGUCUGUGUUUCACAAAUUGCACCAUGCUUGGGUGCACCUGGCUGUCACCUAUCCAGUGCCAAACAGAUCUGUCCCACUGAUACCCCCAAAUCCAAGGAACAAAGAGCAAGCUCCCCAGCAAACAUCUGCUCCUAGAAGUGUGUAGGCUGAGCUCUAUCAGCUUACAAGCUGUGUGACCCCAGGCAAAUCACUCCACCUCUCUGAGCUGACUUUCUCAUCUGGAAAGCUGGCAUAACACCCUGUCUUCUCCAAGAAUCAAUGAGGAAUAGAAAUACAGGUCUGCAGAGCCUGCUGCAGUCUUUAAAGACACUCAGGAAACAGGGUCUAAUAGCAAGUUCAAUGUGAUAUGGAGGCUUUCAAGCCAUGGUCCUCUUUAAGUUCUUUUCCCUAAAAUUGAGGCAAAGGCAGGUUUUCAUCACUGAUCUAUUUGUGCAAAGGCUGCAGCAUCCAGGCAGGGAUGAGCGACCAGUCUGAGGGACCAACUUGCUGGUUCUCACCAUCCUCUAUGCUUGUGCUUCCAAGAGUCAGCCUUUAGGACCAGAAGGGACUAGAGUACAAAAGGGGACCCAGCCAGAGCCUCAUGGCUGACAGGUAGCUUCCCUGCAGCCGUGGCAGCUGCUCUUAGGACCAUGGACACAGCACAGCCAGAAGCAAGACAUUCACAUGAACUCUCCAUAGAUAAUGUGAUACCUACUAUAUUGAUAUAAAACAAAUUAUAUAUAAUUUUUUUAAUGUGUAUGAGCAUUUUUGCCUGCAUGUAUGUAAGGGCACCAUGUGUGUGCAGUAUCUGCAGAGGCCAGAAGAGGGCAUUACAUCCCCCUGGGAUCUAAGUUAAUGGAUAGUUGUUAGCCACCAUGUGGGUGCUGGAAACCAAACCCCAGUCCUCUGCAAGACCUACCUGUGCUCUUACCCACUGAGCCAUCUUUCCAGCCCUAUGCUGAACAAAGCCAUCUGCAGGCUGGCAUGUGCCACAGCAGGAACCUGUGCACCAGGGUGCAGGAAAUAUACUUCCUUGACUGGUUCUCUCCAGAUACGCACAGGGCUCACUCAGUCUUUCUGGGCUCCUCACACCCUGGGUCUUGUCAUAAGGAAAGUCCUGCCACCUGGCACUUGGGACCUCAAAACAGAGGAUUCUGUCUCUCGGAAUGCAACCUGCAUUUUCCCAGGCAUUUAUGUGAAGGGAGAGGAGGGUGGUGUCUCUGUAAUAAUAUGAGGACAGAGCUCACCACAGUGGACACAUUGCUGAAUCCAGAGGGGUCCUCCCAUGGCCCAC
Nannospalax galili (Upper Galilee mountains blind mole rat) is the source of this 4374-nucleotide long non-coding RNA. RefSeq lists it as uncharacterized. NCBI's taxonomy places the organism in Eukaryota, Metazoa, Chordata, Mammalia, Rodentia, Spalacidae. The transcript has 5 exons. The record is from RefSeq and is a predicted model, not a curated record.